CACAGAGUUGUGGAAUGGUUUGGGUGGGAUGGGGCCUUAAAAGCUGCUUCAUCCAUGGGCAGGGACACCUUCCACUGUCCCAGGUUGUUCCAAGCCCUGUCCAACCCAGCCUGGAACACUUCCAGAGAGCCCUGCUUCCCCUUACCACUCAUGCUCUGGUUUUACUGGAAUAUUCUAGACUGGAAAUUCAGAGGCUGUUUCCCUGAGCAGCCUGGUCCCUCAGUUUUGGGGGGGCUUUGGGGUUGGCUGUGGUGUAAACUCAGAAGAGCUGAAAACUCCAGCAGAUGGAACUGGCCAUACCUCCACUCACUUUUCUUUCUCCAGCCCACAGCAGAAGGUCUUUUCCUCCUGCUUUCCUGUCCUUACCUAUGUGGGAGCUGAGCCUGUCCUGGAUUUCCUCUAGGAACAGUGUCAUUUUGAGGUCCUUGAAAGUUUUAUGUCUGCUCCCACUAAACCUGUGAAGUUUUCACUUUCUGGAGCAUCAAAUAGUUGGGACUUUCUGUGCAAGGGUUUGAUUGUACCCUCAAAAGAGAAGAAUUGUUUUGUGCUUUAACUUGGGGUUCAAGCUGAAGUUCCUGCUAGGUCAGUGUCCCUGCCAAGUACAUUCCUCUCAUUUCUGCUUUUUCUUUAAAUGCAGUUCUUGCACUUAGGAAUUCUUUAAAAGCCUGUUUCUAAAGUAAGAUUUUUAGCCUGUGAUGUUUCCUGCAGUGCAAAGAUGAGAAGCAGGUACUUGUGAUGAGAGGCAGAGAACUCUGGAUUAUUUUGAGUGAAGUACAGGGUAGGAAAAGGUUUUAAAAAGUAGUACUUUUAAGCUUGGGUGAUUCUGUAAUAAUGUUUGAGAUAGUCCUUGGGAUGUUGUGUCUCACUUGGAAAGGAGACAAAUCUUUUUCCAAGAGGUUAUUACAUUUUUGUUACUCACUUUUGGUCAACUUUUGGUCAGUUUGCCCUGUGUCUCAUACUUCCCCAAAUUAAUUCUGUUACCCAAAGAGUGGAUAAACAAUUGCAAUGACAUUUCUGCUUUUAGUGUAGUGUUUAGUACGUUUUUUUCAUCCUCUGACAUCUGCAGAAAGUGCCUUGACAGUCAGAGGAUAGUGAAGAGUGAGUGAAUAUGGAGUAGCAGGUGCCUGGCUGGAGAAUGAACAAUUGUGGAAUUGGUAAUUCUCCCAUCCAUCACUAAAGGCUUUGCCAGCCCCUUUCUCCCCAUAGCUUGCAAGGUACCAGGAAUUUCCCCUUCCCACCUUCCCAACCAUUUUUAUUUAUGUGUUUAUUUUAUUAUUUCUAUUUAGGCCAUUAAACAGGAAAGGCCUUGACACCUGCAUGGUUUGAGGUGCCAGGUGGAGUGGUCAAACCACUGAGAAAUGGGGCACACAAUUAUUCUUCCACUAAGACAACUAAAAUUAACACAUCAGCAGGUCUUUUAAAGGUUUUGUUUCCAUAACCAAACCCAAAAUCUUGUUGUUUAAUCAGUUACUGGGGAAAUUUCAGCUGCAGUGCCCUGGUUUGCUUUGAGGUGCUCAGCAGCUCUUGGGGUUCUCUCUGGGAAUUGCUGUUACCCUUUGGCUUGAUGGACUGAUUUGCUCAAGUGAUUUUUGAAGCAGAUUUUUAGCCUUUCAGAAGGUUGAGUCUGAUACUAAACUUCAUACCUACUGUAAGGUGAAUUCCACAGGGGAGUAACCCCAGGUGGGCUUUUCUGAGACCCUCCUAUUUCAGCUGGAAGCCACCCCUGGUGGCAGCAGUGCUUGUGUGAGUUUCCAAGAGCCUCUGAGUGUGUUUGGGGUUCAGUGGGGCAUUGCUGGUCCUGCUUUGAACCCUGGCAUCACAGGUUUUGCCAGGUAAUCCACAGGCCAGGCUUAACCUUCCCCAUAUUUGUAGCUGCCCUGAUCCACUUUGAUGUAGCAAUAAAUGUUUUGAAAGCUUGGGUUGCCAAGUGUGAGGAGGUUCUGCCAGGAUGGCUGGGCAAGGUCAGCCCGGGGAGACAGAAGCCUGACCACAGCUGCCUGUGGAUACCUGGUGGGGAAAGGGGCAAGCACAGCACUGAAAAACAACUUUUGCUGACUUGCCUGUGAAUGAGCAGAGUGCCUCUCCUCCAGGAGAAACUUCCAACCAAUGCAGAGUUGCUUGCAGUGGAGGAGACUGCUGGAAACCCUCUGUGCUCUGUGGGAGAGCUGGGACCAGUGUGUUGGACAAAUUGCAUCAGCAUUCAAAGAAAUCACUUAUUUUUUUUUUGAAAAAAAAUAAAAAUAAAAAAAAAAUCAAUCCUGA
Molecule: long non-coding RNA, 2262 nt
Organism: Parus major (Great Tit)
Lineage: Eukaryota; Metazoa; Chordata; Aves; Passeriformes; Paridae
Exons: 2
Source: RefSeq, a predicted model, not a curated record